This 578-nucleotide ribosomal RNA is filed under the name uncultured bacterium. RNAcentral's name for it is "partial 16S ribosomal RNA". It matches the Rfam family "Bacterial small subunit ribosomal RNA", at positions 355 to 924 of the family's 1533-position model. The record is from RNAcentral.
UGGGGAAUAUUGGACAAUGGGCGCAAGCCUGAUCCAGCCAUACCGCGUGGGUGAAGAAGGCCUUCGGGUUGUAAAGCCCUUUUGUUGGGAAAGAAAUCCAGCUGGUUAAUACCCGGUUGGGAUGACGGUACCCAAAGAAUAAGCACCGGCUAACUUCGUGCCAGCAGCCGCGGUAAUACGAAGGGUGCAAGCGUUACUCGGAAUUACUGGGCGUAAAGCGUGCGUAGGUGGUCGUUUAAGUCUGUUGUGAAAGCCCUGGGCUCAACCUGGGAACUGCAGUGGAAACUGGACGACUAGAGUGUGGUAGAGGGUAGCGGAAUUCCUGGUGUAGCAGUGAAAUGCGUAGAGAUCAGGAGGAACAUCCAUGGCGAAGGCAGCUACCUGGACCAACACUGACACUGAGGCACGAAAGCGUGGGGAGCAAACAGGAUUAGAUACCCUGGUAGUCCACGCCCUAAACGAUGCGAACUGGAUGUUGGGUGCAAUUUGGCACGCAGUAUCGAAGCUAACGCGUUAAAUCGACCGCCUGGGGAGUACGGCCGCAAGGUUAAAACUCAAAUGAAUUGACGGGGUCAUAG